Equus asinus (donkey) is the source of this 12730-nucleotide long non-coding RNA. Lineage: Eukaryota; Metazoa; Chordata; Mammalia; Perissodactyla; Equidae. The record is from Ensembl.
GCCCCCGGAAGUUGCUGCUGUUCCAGCAGCCUGGGGAUCGCGUCUCCUCGCCGUUUAAGGCUCGUCUUGGCUCUGCCGCUUGUCUUGUCGAUUUGUGACCUGACCGAAUUGUCGCACUGAACGCAUGAGUCGUAUGAAGGACGCCGGGGGACCCAGGAGCCCUAGAAAUGAAGCCUUGCAAACUGGAGCUGGUGAACUUGAUAUAAACUUGAGAGAUUCAUGUCUGUUGCUGUUUGUUGCAUGUGGGAUGCUGCCUCAGCGUGGUUUGAUGAGCAGUGCCAUGUCUGCGCCCAGGAUUCGAACCAAAGAAACACUGGGCCGCCUGCGGCAGAGCGCGUGAACUUAACCACUCAGCCAUGGGGCCAGCCCAGACACCUGAAUACUUGAUGACAUCAUCAGAGGCAUUUCAAACUGCAAAAGAUGCUUCAACUGUGACAUCUAGAAAUCUUUUUAACUGGCUGCUGCCUGGACUCAGAAACUGGUUUAUAAUUUGCUCCCACUAUUAACCUUGUUUUUCUUUUGUCUCUCUAGAAAUGUUUCUUAUUAAAUACCUGGUUAGUUGCUUACACAGUAUAGGCCUAAAUUGGGGAUCCCACCUGUAUCACUAUCUUACUAAAAGGCUAGUUCAGUGAGCUGGAACAACCUAUGCCCAUCAUCAACAAGGUGUCCCUCAAGAUUGAGGAAUGAAAAACAAAAGGAGGGGAUUGAUACUGGGUAAACACAAGGUUGACAUAGGGAAGCCAUGUUGUAGAAUAGAGACCAUAUUAUAACUUUGAAUGACCUCUAACUAACCCAUCUGGAUAUGCACCCUCCAGGAGAUCCACUUGCUCUCUAGGUUUUUUUGACCCUUGCUUGUACAUAUACCAACCAGCUAUGAUGAGAUGAUGACUUUGUUCUUUUGAGUUCCUUAGGAGUGUGAUGACCUCCAAACAGAGAGUCUAUUCUGAUAGCCAUCAUCAAUGGAAACUUGAAAGAUCUGGUGUGGCAACUCCUGGGUCAACAUUCCUAACCUCCUCCCCUAUAACCCACCAGCCUAUAUAACUCCUUCAAGAUUCUGUGACCCACCCCUUUAACAUGGUUCUUUUGGACAUUAGUCAGACAUCUUGCCUCUUGCUAGCAAGCUGUAAUAAAAUGCCCUUUCUCUGCCACCAUCUUGCCUCUUGACGAUCGGCUUUUAUCUCAUGGCAAGCAGAUUGUGUCCUUUGUGUGGUAACAUUAUUCCCUGGGGAGAGGAGAGUGUGUGGAGUUCAUUCCUGUGGCUGCUCAGGUGCCCUCCUCUCCUUCACCAGGGACUGACCCACUGCAGGGCUUCUGUCUAAACUGGGAGAGUCUAGAAUAUGGAACUUUCUGAAUGUGGCUUUCCUUUUGUCCUGUCGGAAGCAACCUGCUUAUCUGAGCUGAAUCCAGUAUUUGUGUUUCUUUCUUUCCUUUGGAUUCCUUUAUCAAUUGAAUAGUGUAGCCUUUUGGCUCUAGUUUCCCUUAGUACUUGGGCCCUGAGACUUUAAGUUGGUUGAGAGAUAGGAUGUGAGGAAAGCAAGACAUUUCUUUUGAUUUUUAGGUCAGUUUUUCUAUGUGCAUCUGUCUACAGAACAUAGACAUUUAAAAGGCUAAAGCAAUUAAAAUUCUAUUUUAAUUGACGUGAGGAAAACUCAAAGCUUACGUAAAUCUUUUAAAAUCCAAUGCAUUUAAGGGUUUAAACUCAAAUCCUGAUUGCAUUAUAAUAUGCCACUUAUUCCUUAAAAUACCCCCAGUGUGAGAUAUAGGGGAAAGACAAACUAGGAUGCUGCAUGUCCUUUUAGUUUGAAAGAGACUUGGAAAUUUUAUUUUGUAUGGUUUACCCUUUUGUAACUGUUAGUGUUUCUUAGAUUUCUUAUGUUGAAGAGAUAAAAUUAAAGAAUAUAAAUUUCUCUGUAUAUUUGAAAUAAAUCUGUAAAAUAGCACAGCCUAACUUAAGAAGAUUCACUGCCAACAUAUCCUGGUCCCCUCCAGCACUGUUACUUAAGUUACACCAAAUACACAGUUUUGAUCAUUUUGAGCCUCCUGUUAGUGUUUCUUUAUAUAAAUCAAGCAAUUGAGAACGCAUAUUUUUCUUACCCACUUUGUCCUUGUAAUGAGCCGUCAGACUCCACAUUUUUGAAUGCUCACAGCUUAAGCCUCACCCACCCACUUCCCCUUGUGCCCCCACCUGGACAAGCUGAGGAGGAAGCCUGGGUGCUCUCUCCUCUAGAGCAGGCAGGAGAUUCCCACCACCCCAGCCCCUGCCUCUGUGCAGAGCUCUUGCCCAGGCCCCAUCCCCAGGCCCAGUGAAACCCCAGGCCAGGCUCUAUUCCUUGCUUUCUGAGCCCUGUCAGAGCUGCUUGAGAAGCCGGCCCUGCCUUCUCCUCAGACCUCUAUUAUGUGACUCCUAACCCUUUUCCUACCAUGUGUGUUUCUGUGCCACCCUGGCAUCAGUCUCAACAAGGAAACCACCCCUCUGCAGUUGACCAUAGGCACCCUGAGCAGCAUGUCCAGACAUGACCCCACCCAUGGGUCUGUCUUCUCUUGCUCUGACUUGCUCCCCUGCUCUGCUGCCUGGUGGCAGCAUGCGCUGUGGGCUGCUGCUCACUGGGGAGCUCGUGCUGAGAGCUGUGCUGCCCCGUGUUGCUUUGUUGACCCACCAACCUCAGUUCUAGGUUCAGCUGAGCAGAGGUGGCAAUUUGAAGGAUGUAUAGGCACUUAGGAGCAGGACGCUGGGGUUGGGGCCUCCUUAAAUGAGUCGUGGGUCAGUGUCUGCCGGAAUUUAUCUGUGUGUGAGAGUGAAGCUUUGACAGAAGCUGUGUUGGCCUGACAUACCCUAGAGAUGGUGCUGCCACAGGGGGACUAUACUCUUUGCAAGAGAUGGGUCCAUCAGAUGGUCAGUAUUGAAAGGACAGUCAACUUAAAAGAGGGGGAAAGGCACCCCUACCACAAAAGUAGGGAGAAUCUCUUCAAAUUGUCAUAAAACCAAAACCCCUGUUAGUGCCCUUGGAGACUCCUUCACUAUAGAGGCCUCAGUGACCUUCUGUCAUGCCUCCUAGGGUACCCAUGAUGGCUUUAAAUUGUCCAUGGGCUUCUGAUGCAAGAACCUGCACUAGGCCUCACACUAUAUGUCAUUAGAGCUGCAAUGACCUCUGCUUACGAGUCUAUCCUGAAAGUAGUUGGCCCUGCGCAUGGGGCCAUGUAUUCAGCAGUCCAUUUUGACUUGGGAUGUGGAAGCAGCCCUCCAGGAGCUCAGCAUGGCUACUGAGACCCCCUGGAGACACGAUGGAGGCAAACCUGGGCCCUCUGGGAUAUCCUACCUGCAGGAGAGAGUGGUCUUCCCUGUCCUUAGUCUCCUGCCAGCUGCCAUGGUGUUGAAGGAGGUCUCCCCUUUCCCAGAAUCCCAGGCUGCAUGUGGAACUCCUUAGGACUUCCUGAAUGAAAAGCAAUGGGAGUACAUAGAUUUUAGUGACAACAGCACCACGCUUGUACAUGAUUUAGUUCAGCCAGAGUUGUUAUUUUUCGAUUGUUAAUUGUGACAUUUCUGAUGAAGGACUGGACCCAAGGGUCAUCACGCUGACCACACAUCAAGCAGACAUCUUAGCACUGACGAACAGUUGGCUCCAGCUGCAGACAUUACAGACUAUGGGUGAUUCCCUGAGAGUUGCCCUUUUGUGGUAAAAGAACUCUGGGAAUCUCUUGCCUCACAGUUACCUACAAUAUAAAUCAAGGUAACACUUGGAUGUUUUUGGUACCAGUCCUUUAUCAGAUAAGUGAUUUUCAAAGAUUUUUCUGCCAGUUUGUUGUUUCUGUUUUUAUUCUCUUAUACUGUUUCACCAAGUGGAAACUUUUUAUUUUAAUGAAGUCAAAGAUUUUUUUCUAUCUUUGAUCAUUCUUUUUAUGUUCUAUCUAAAAAUUAAUCACCAAAUCCAAGGUCACCUAGAUUUUCUGCUGUGUUAUCUUUUAGGAGUAUUGUAGGUAUACAUUUUAUACUAAGAUCUAUGGCUCAUUUUGAAUUAAUUUUUGUGAAAAAUGUAAAGUCCAUGUCUAGAUUCUUUUUUUGCCUGGGGAUGGCUAGUUUUUUUCAUAUUAUUUGUGGAAAAGACUAUGUUUUCCUAUUGAGUAGCCUUUGGUCCCCUGUCAGAGAUGAGUUCACUAUAUCUGUGUAUCUACAGGAAAGCAAUUUGACUUUUCUAUGUUAACAUUUUAUCUUUCAGCCUUCCUCUACACUCUUAGUUCAAGGGGUUUCUUUAUUUUUGGGGAUUCUUUGAGGUUUUCUUCAUAGACAAUCUUGUACCACAAGGACAGUUUUAUUUCCUGCUUCCCCAUAAAUACACCUUUUAUUUUCUUUUCCUGUCUAGUUGCAUUAACUAAGAAUUCUAGUCCUAGUUUGACUACAAGUGGCGGGAGGAGACAUCCUUGCUGCCUUCUUGAUGUUAUCAGAAAGCAUCUAGUUCCUUCAGUGCAGUCCACUAAUAUUAAAGAAGAGCCCAGUUGAUGUAGAGGUAGGUGUGGCCUGAGGGGGGGCAUUCUGUAGUCCAAUGAUUGUGUCUCAAUCUUUUGGUGAGCCUGUGUCCCUGGGCUUGUCCUGUGAUAUAAUAAAAAUAGUUUUUCCUUUGUCCUCAGUUCCUAGCAAAAACCUCUUGAGGCCCUUGGAAUUCCUUGAGUCAUGAGGGUGAUAGAGUGUCUUUUGUUUUAAUGAGGCAACUCUUGGCCGGCUCCUAGAUGGCUUCAGGAUGGGGGUUGGGUACCAGAAACACCAAGCCUUGAUUAGAGGCUUGAAACAUUCAGUGCCAGCUCCCAGCCUCUGUGCAGAGGAGAGGGGCUGGAGACUGAGUUGACAAAGGGCCAAUGGCCAGUGAUUUAAUAAUUUGUGCCCAUGUAAUGAAAUCACCAUCAAAAUGGUUAAAGAGAAUUCAGAGAGUUUCUGCAUUGGUGAACACAUGCAGGUGCUGGGAGGGUGGAGUGUCCAGAGGAUGUGGAAUCUCUGCAGCCUCCUCCACCUCCACUCCCCUCACCCAUACCACUGCCCUGUGUUGCCCUAUGCAUCUCUACCUUUUGUCUGUUCCUGAGUUGUAUCCUUUUUAUAAACCAAUAAUAUUGAGUAAAGAAGUUUGCUGAGGGGCUGGCCCCGUGGCCGAGUGGUUAAGUUCGCAUGCUCUGCCGCAGGCGGCCCAGUGUUUCUUUGGUUCGAAUCCUGGACGCGGACAUAGCACUGCUCAUCAAGCCACGCUGAGGCAGCGUCCCACAUGCCACAACUAGAAGGACCCACAACGAAGAAUAUACAACUAUGUACUGGGGGGGCUUUGGGAAGAAAAAGGAAAAAAAAAUCUUAAAAAAAAAAAGAAGUUUGCUGAGUCCUCAGAAUCAUUUCAGUAAGUUACCAAAUGUUAUAAGGGGUGUUGAGAGAAUAUAUGAAUCUGUGGAAGGCUGAGUGGAAAUGCUGUCAGCCUGGGCACCCCAUUUGUGGUUGGCAUCUAAGGAAGGGGCAGUUUGUGAGACUGAACUCUUAAUCUGUGGACUGAUGUGAACUCUGGGUAGUUAGUGUUAGAAUUGAAUUGAACUGUUGCACAGCUUGUUGGUAAUGUGGAAUUGAAGUUUCAUUGGAACAGACACCAAAUAUUUGGUCUCAGGAAUGAACAAAACCCUACCAUCCUCUCAAUUACCCCACCUCUCAAAGCAGAAAAGGCUCAAGUUGGCUAUUGCAGUGCCCCUGGUCAGUUAGGCUUGGGAAAAUCUUAGUCAGUGCUCUUGUGAAAUAGAUUGUUUUUAGCACAUGACUUGCUAAGACCAGAAUAUUUGGGAUAUUUUUUGAAUUGUACAUAUUUGUCUCUAUAAUUGUGGAGACCUUGGUUUACCCUGUGAUCUCAGUUCUCUGAUGCAAGAAUUGUUGAUUUCAGUUUUUUUUGCUUUUUUCAUUUGAGUACUGGAAUCUGGUUUCUGAGCGCCUUGCGUGACAGACCAGAGACUAGAAGUCUCUUGACUCCUUUUUUCCAGGUUUAUUGAGAAAAAAUUGACAUGCAUGACUGUAUAAAUGAAAGGUGUACAGCAUGAUGGACUGAUUUACAUAUAUUGUGAAAUGGUUACCACAAAUUCAGUUAACAUUCAUCUCAUAUCGAUAAAAUAAAAAGAAAAGGAGGAAGAAUAAAGAAAUAAAUUUUCUCUAUGUAAUGAGAACUCUUAGGAUUUACUCUCUUAAUUGCUUUCCUAUGCAUUAUAUAUCAGUAUUAGUUAUAGUUGUCUUGUUGUACAUUACAUCCUAGCACUUAUUUAUCUUAUAACUGGAAGUUUGUGCCUUUUGACUCCAGUUGCCCAACCCCUCCACCCCCAUCUCUGGUGACCACAAGUGUCAUCUCUUCUAUGAGUUUUUUUUUGGUUCCACAUAUAACUGAGAUCAUAAAAUAUCUGUCUGUCUCUAACUCUUCUCUCUUAGCAUAAUGCGUUCAAGUUUCAUCCCUGUUUUUACAAAUCAUAGGAUUUCCUUGUUUUUUUUUUUUUUAUGGCUGAAUAGUACUGGAUUGUUUAUAUAUAUACCACAACUUGUGUAUCCAUUAGUCCAAUGAUGGAUGUUUAUCUUCUCUGUGGUAGGCAGGGCCCUCAGUGAGUGGGAUAAGUGAUUGAUCAAUCACUUAUCCCACCGUCUAAUACAUCUUUUUUUUUUAAAGAUUGGCAUCUGAGCUAACGUCUGUUGCCAAUUUUCUCUUUUUUCUUAUUCUUCUCCCCAAAGCUCCCCAGUACAUAGUUGUAUAUUCUAGUUGUAUGUCCUUCUGGCUCUACUAUGUGGGAUGCUGCCUCAGCGUGGCUUGAUGAGCAGUGCUAGGGCUGUGCCCAGGAUCCGAACUGGUGAAACCCUGGGCCACUCAAGCAAAGCAUGCGAACUCAACCACUCGGCCAUGGGCCUGUCCCUCUAAUUUAUGUUUUCUUAGCAGUGUACAGAUGAUGUGAUUCUAUAAUUACUAGUGUCUCAUUUGAUACCCUGCCCCCAUCCUUCUUCCCAUGAUGCAAAUGAGGAAAGUCAAGCACGUAGUAAAAUUAAAAUUUUAAAAAUUAGUAAAAGUAAAAUUCACGUAGCUCCUACCAGUGGAAACUCUUAGUUUUUUUUCUUUUUCUUUUUUUUUUUUUUUGAGGAAGAUUAGCCCUGAGCUAACAUCUGCCACCAAACCUCUUUUUGCUGUGAGGAAGAUUGGCCCUGAGCUAACAUCCGGACCCACCUUCCUCUAUUUUAUGUGUGGGACACCUGCCACAGCAUGGCUUGACAAGGGGUGCAUGUGUCCGCACCCGGGAUCUGAACCAGCAAACCCUGGGCUGCCAAAGUGGAACUUGGAAACUUAACUGCUGCACCACCGGGCUCGCCCCAGAAGCUCUUAGUUUUGAAGGCAUAAUAUGUGUCCUUCUGGGCAACGUCAAAAAUUUCACUCACAAGAACACUGAAGUUUUGUAUAAUUACGCCCCUUUACAAAUGUUGCCUCAAAGUUUCCAAACAGGACUCAGAGGGCAACGUGGUGUUCCACUUAUAUGACAUUCUGGAAAAGGCAAAAGUAUAGGAACGUAAAACUGAUCAGUUGUUAAGGGUGGGAGGUUUCAGCACAAAUGGGCCUCAUGAGAGUGUUUCUUUGAGGUGAUGGAGUGAUCUCCAUCCUGAUGGUGAUAUAACUGUACAUUUGUGGAAACUCACAACUUCUGAUGCCUGAGUCUAACAGGGUGGCCUGUUUGAUCUAGGACAGAAUGCACUAACUCUGCAGCAGACUCCAUCAUGUGUGGUGGUGGCACACUAUCCAUAAAGUACAUGGACUGCCUGUCAUUUGUGUGCUCCCAAGGACUCCCCAAGUGGCCAGUGUGUCUAGAGAGGAGGUGAACUCCUCCUGAACUGACUGCAUUCAUCAGAGAACAGAAGAACACACCUCAUCUUGUAGGUGGGAUAUGCCAGUCUUGAAAUUUUUGGCUCUAUCCUGUAAAUAUCAAUAUCUUUUCAAUGAAAAGUCCUCUGCUUAGCAAGCUUGAGGGGUCUUGCAUUCAUGACUCAAGGCAAAGUGGAAGCUGGCGGUGGAGGUUCACCAACUCUGAGCCUAGGAAGGUCUCUAUUUAGAAAAAACUGUCAGUUGCCAGCCGUGGCUUUUCUAACCAUGUGCAGAGCUGAUGGACAAUAGGUUCUUGUACAAGAAUUUUCUUGGACAACUUACAUCCACCAUGCGUGGUUUAGAGAUUUCUGCAUGGAUAAAAGUAGGCUGUAAAGCCUCUCUGGUAACAGGGUGUAGGGAGGGAGACACUAAUGGAGUGAUGGUUAAGAAUUCCAGGGCCAAGAAUCUAACUCAUUGGCACAUUGUUACAGAUCCUUUGGCCAUUGACAAUGAUCUAGAGGUCUCAUCCCACCACUAGCAACAACUCCUUAUCCACGAUGGCCCCAUGGCACAAGACUCUGAGAAAGUCUUGCCUCACAAUAUCCAAGUAAAAAUCAAGGUCACUCCUAAUUCUGGAUAUAUUAAACCUCAAUCUGCAGAGGCUCAUUACAAUGUUAAGGGUGAUAAAUGGCUUAGAAUUUCAGUGGCACAUACCAAUACCUCACCCCUGAUGGUAUUAAUUUUGUCCCUUUGGGCUCAUGUAAUAAACUAUUUAGAGGCCUCUAACCUAAAGGUCUAGGCAUAAUUCAAAGGACUUUCCUCUGCCAUGGCUGACAGUGACUGACCAAUGCACCUGAUGUGAAAAAAACACGUCACUGGAAAUAAAAUCAAUGAAUGUACUUUCCAGACCAAGGGAGGGCCCACUACAGCUGAUAGCAAACAGACUUUCUAGGGCCCCUCACUCCCUCUACUGGCUCCUUGCUGUGCACUGACCAUGGUCGUUACUUAUAUAGACAAAUUAUUAAUCCUAUCACACAUGACCCUGCUGAAGCCAAAAUGCAAGGACUCACCAAGACACUCUAGAAAUUACUGAUAUUAUCAACUAAUUUCUCAAAAUGUAAAACACUGGGCUCUUAAAAGUAUUCAAUGGAUCCUGUGCCUCUCUUACAACCCAGGCUGCAAGCCUCAUAGGAUGGCUUAACGGCUUACUUAGACGAACCUUGCUUUCUUGUGAAUAGAUGUUCCUGCUCUUUGAGUCAUUAGUUAUAUUCGCUCCCCAGUCUUUAGGGCCUGUUGCUUUGUUCUGAUCAUCAGGCUCACUGGCACCUAAUAAGUAGAGUCUUUCUAUAGUAGACAUUUCUCUCAGAAUGGGCACUUCUACAAGUCUUUGGUUUAUUGUAAUAGUGCACCCUGGCUACCACUCUUAUAUCCCACUCCUGGGCCUUCCUUCUAACAUCACCUGUAUUCUGUGUGCCCUGUGUGUCAAUAUUUAAUUUUGGGCACCCUCCUUCAGAACGCCUCUGGCCCAUCAAAUACAAAUGUGCUGUUUUCCUACCAUUUACACUCACGUGCUCAUUGUCUUGGGAUUCUCUGAUACUGCACACAUGAUGUCAUUCAACAAGCACAUCAUUAAUACCAAUCAAGAAAUGUCCAAAACAUUCAAAAUACAUACAGCAAACAGCUAGUGCUUGAAAUGUUUUCUGUGAAGGACAGCUCCCUCUCAGCCAUGUAAGCUGAUGACUCCUUGCCUUGUACUGUUUAUUAACAAGCCAGGGAGAGCUCUGUUCCCCUAAAAGGGAUACUUGCUGCUUAUGGGUAAGCAACACUGGCAAGGUGACCCCAAUAACACAAGAAAUGAGACACUAAAUUAAAUAACAUUACUAAAAUAAUUGAACAGAGUUCUAGAACCAUACUGACAUAUUUUCCUGGAUGUCUCAAACACCCUAGAAUGACUGGAUGCAAAUGCCUUUUUUUAAGGCUUUAUCAUGCUAAUUAUAGUAUGUUGCUUAUACGUUUCACAUGGCUUUUAAAUUAAUAUUCACAUGCAAAUUUAUUUAACUGAGAUGUGGCGUCAUUCAGUCAAAAAACCUCAGGAGUGAACUUUAAUAAAAAACUGCCCUCAUUUUUGAUAUUUGACUCUUAACUGGCUUUGGAUACAUACUCACCCUGUUUGGCCCACAGUGGGUACCUAAAUUAUGGAGGUUGACAAAUGCCCCUUUUCUUUUUUGCAUCAGUUGGUAGGAGGGUCAAACCUUGAAAACCUGCUUCGUCUACCUUUACACAUCUUAAAGGGUCAACCCUAUCUCCUCUGCACAAGCCCCCUCAGCCUGCUGACACUUGCCGUACUCACCUUAGAAAGUACCUUUGAGCAAUGAACAUACUUCUAUUCACUCGAUGCACGUGGCAAUAUGGGUCUUGCCAUGCAGUCUCAUUUUGUGUAGGGUAUUAUCCUGCCCCAAAGAGGGCAAUGAUAAAACGGUGGGCAACCCAUCAAAAUUGUCUUUUGGAUGAUGAACAGGUGUUCAUGGUAUGGAAAUUUGAAAAGAUGAGGGUAAGAAAUCCAAAUUCAGAGAUCCCAGUAUAAUAAUGUUUCUAGAUGCGUUGAUCACAAAAGAAAAAUAGUGACAGCUUCCACAUGGUCAUCAGCAAUAGAAUAAGUGAAAAUGGUAUAGUCUCACAGGUGAAAAAUACAGCAACAGAAGUGAAUGGAUGGUUUAUGUUCCAGUAUGUAAAGAGCCCUGAGUGAUCAUUCUUAUCUUCACAAUAAGAAAAGAGCUGAAUAACCUGAAAAUCAACACCUCUUCUUAGAUCCAUGAGAGAUUUGAGGUUAGCUGGCAAACCAACACUCCCAAAAUGAGAGAGAGGUAAAUAAUAGAGAAUUACCUUAUGCUGAGAAGAGGAACGACUGGAGCCAGUCAACUCUAGAAACACAUAAACUGUAAUAGAUGAAUUACUGUAGACACAGUAUGGAUUACCUUGAGAGUUGAAAAUUCUAGGGGGCCGGUCUUAGGGAGCAUCCCAGAAUUUAUGAAUUUUUCCUUUAAGAGCCCAACCAGAUUCUCAUAGUGAAGAUCCGAAAAAAUUGCCUCAUGCUUCAUUCAGGAAAUGGGGGGAAACAUUUUGAUAAACACAAAGUAUUUUGUCUGUAACAUAGACCAUCCCUCAAAGGAAACUAAUUUGCCAAAGGCUUCUCUGAUUGGGCAAAGUGCAAAUAGACACCUGUAGUUGCUUCGGAGUUCUCUCUGACAAAAGUGGAGGAAAUAUAAGUAUGUAUAUUUAUAUACUAUUAUAUAAACAUAACAGCCAAGUUCGUGUUCUGAAGUUCCUAGUCCAGGGAUUCUUUACCACCAAAACAUUGCAGGUUUCAUCAUAACAGAAGAGGACAUGUUUUCUUUCAAUACCUGACACCAUGUCAGCAGGGUCCCUGAAUAAAAACACUAGAUUAAAACAGAGCUGCAAGACACAGACUCUACAUAAGAAUGAGUUUCUAGAGAAACCCAAACAUGCCGGGGAGAUAAGUACAACUGCACUAUAGACUAUGAAGCCCCUGACCCCUCCAGCUGCAGCAAACAUUAAACAUAGUCUGACACCUAUUCAAGAAAUCAUAACACCUCACACUAAAGGCCUGUUUAUCUCAAACCUUAUUGUGACAAUUUACAAAUGCAUGAAAAUUAAAUGACAUGCUCUGGGACAACCACUGUCAAAGAUGAACUCAAAUAAGAAUUUCAAAAUAUCUCAAACAAAAGUGGAAACGCAACUUUCAAAAACUUAUCGGAUUGUGAAAGAUGACAUGAGUGGAGCCAUAUUAAAAUAGAGCCGGAGCAGCCAUUUCAGAGGAAUUGCCUUGCGUAUCUUGUUUUCUUUAUCUUCUAAACUGGACCAAACCACCAACAUUCCAACAAGUCAGUAAGGAAAGGAAUAUCCUCUCUGGAGGAACUGAUGGAAGACUUUGCUGAUGACUGGAUAUAACCAACCAACGACGUACAAGUCUAGCCGUUUGCCUGAUGGCUGAAUGUGAAGCCAAUCUAUGAAGUACACACCUAGCCUUACGUCAUCUUGCACCAGUGAACUCUUCUUUAAUACAACUCGCCUCAUCCUCCCUGUUCCCCAUAAAAGCCCUAAGCCCCUCUCCUCUAAUCAGGACACUAUUUGAGUUUCUACCUGAAUCUGUGCUCCCUGGAUUGCAAUUCUUUGAUUCCAAAUAAACACUUGCCUCUUAAACUGUUUUUUGUUUUUGCAAGUUGACAGGAUAUAGCAUAAGGAGUACUAAAAGUGAAGUUUAUAGUGGUAAUCAUCUAUAUUAAGAAAAAAGAUAUCAAAUGAACAACCUACAUUUACACCUCAGGGAACUAGAAAAAGAGCAACAAACUAAACCCAAAGUUAGGGAAAUUAGGAAAUAAUAAAUAUAGAGCAGAAAUAAAUUAAAUAGAAUAUAGAAAAUCAAUAGUUUUGUGGUUUUUUGUUUGUUUUUCUUUUUUUGCUGAGGAAAAUUCACCCUGAGCUAACGUCUGGUGCCAGUCUUCCUCUAUUUUGUAUAUGGGUCACCACCACAGCAUGGCCACCAAUGACUGGUGCUGGUCCAUGCCUUGGAAGUGAAUCUGGGCUACCAAAGUAGAGAGCACCAAACUUAACUAUUAGGCCAUGGGGUUGGUCCCUAGUUUUGGGUUUUGAAAAAAAUAAAUAAAAUUAACAAACCCUUAGCUAGACUAACAGUAAAAAGGAGAGAAGACUGAAAUAUGUAAAAUCAGAAAUCAAAGGGGACAUAUUACAAUGGAUGCCUCAAAAAUAAAAAGAUUCAAAAGGGAAUUUCAUGGGCAUUUGUAUGAGAACAAAUUGGAUAACUUGGAAGAAAUAGAUAAAUUCCUAGAACAUGCAACCUACAAGGAAAGAAUUAA